Molecule: ribosomal RNA, 484 nt
Filed under: uncultured bacterium
Lineage: Bacteria
Description: bacterial SSU rRNA
Rfam family: Bacterial small subunit ribosomal RNA
Source: RNAcentral
AGGAUGAACGCUAGCGGCAGGCUUAACACAUGCAAGUCGAGGGGUAUUGGUUUUCGGACCAAGAGACCGGCGCACGGGUGCGUAACGCGUAUGCAAUCUACCUUUGCAGAGGGAUAGCCCAGAGAAAUUUGGAUUAAUACCUCAUAGUAUAGUACUUUGGCAUCAAGGAACUAUUAAAGUUCCAACGGUAAAAGAUGAGUAUGCGUCCCAUUAGCUAGAUGGUAAGGUAACGGCUUACCAUGGCAAUGAUGGGUAGGGGUCCUGAGAGGGAGAUCCCCCACACUGGUACUGAGACACGGACCAGACUCCUACGGGAGGCAGCAGUGGGGAAUUUUGGACAAUGGGCGCAAGCCUGAUCCAGCAAUGCCGCGUGCAGGAUGAAGGCCUUCGGGUUGUAAACUGCUUUUGUACGGAACGAAACGGUGAGCUCUAAUACAGUUUGCUAAUGACGGUACCGUAAGAAUAAGCACCGGCUAACUACGUG